This 301-nucleotide ribosomal RNA is filed under the name uncultured bacterium. RNAcentral's name for it is "partial 16S ribosomal RNA". It matches the Rfam family "Bacterial small subunit ribosomal RNA", at positions 509 to 807 of the family's 1533-position model. The record is from RNAcentral.
CAGUCGCCGCGGGAAUACAGAGGGUGCGAGCGUUAAUCGGAUUUACUGGGCGUAAAGCGUGCGUAGGCGGCUUUUUAAGUCGGAUGUGAAAUCCCUGAGCUUAACUUAGGAAUUGCAUUCGAUACUGGGAAGCUAGAGUAUGGCAGAGGGGGGUAGAAUUCCACGUGUAGCAGUGAAAUGCGUAGAGAUGUGGAGGAAUACCGAUGGCGAAGGCAGCCACCUGGGCAAAUACUGACGCUCAUGCACGAAAGCGUGGGGAGCAAACAGGAUUAGAUACCCGGGUAGUCCCUGUCUCUUAUAC